This 77-nucleotide transfer RNA is filed under the name Neoakkermansia glycaniphila. Its description in RNAcentral is "tRNA-Pro". It matches the Rfam family "tRNA". From Rfam's summary of the family: Transfer RNA (tRNA) molecules are approximately 80 nucleotides in length. Their secondary structure includes four short double-helical elements and three loops (D, anti-codon, and T loops). The record is from RNAcentral. Lineage: Bacteria; Pseudomonadati; Verrucomicrobiota; Verrucomicrobiia; Verrucomicrobiales; Akkermansiaceae.
CGGGAUGUAGCUCAGCCUGGUAGAGCGCCUGCUUUGGGAGCAGGAUGUCGCAGGUUCGAAUCCUGUCGUCCCGACCA